GCACAAGCGGUGGAUGAUGUGGAUUAAUUCGAUGCAACGCGAAAACCUUACCUACCCUUGACAUGUCCGGAAUCCCGAAGAGAUUUGGGAGUGCUCGCAAGAGAACCGGAACACAGGUGCUGCAUGGCUGUCGUCAGCUCGUGCCGUGAGGUGUUAGGUUAAGUCCUGCAACGAGCGCAACCCUCGUCGCUAGUUAAUUUCUCUAGCGAUACUGCCCGUAAAACGUGGAGGAAGGUGGGGAUGACGUCAAGUCAGCAUGGCCUUUAUGUCUUGGGCUACACACACGCUACAAUGGAUGGUACAAAGGGUUGCCAAAGAGCGAUCUGGAGCUAAUCCCAAAAAACCAUCCUCAGUUCAGAUUGCAGGCUGCAAUGCCUGCAUGAAGUUGGAGUUGCUAGUAACCGCAGGUCAGCACACUGCGGUGAAUACGUUCUCGGGCCUU
Molecule: ribosomal RNA, 442 nt
Filed under: uncultured Chloroflexota bacterium
Lineage: Bacteria; Bacillati; Chloroflexota
Description: bacterial SSU rRNA
Rfam family: Bacterial small subunit ribosomal RNA
Source: RNAcentral